AGCGAACGCUGGCGGCAGGCUUAACACAUGCAAGUCGAACGCCCCGCAAGGGGAGUGGCAGACGGGUGAAUAACACGUGGGAACGUACCCUUUGGUUCGGAAUAACUUGGGGAAACUCAAGCUAAUACCGGAUAAGCCCUAAGGGGGAAAGGUUUACUGCAGAAGGAUCGGCCCGCGUCUGAUUAGCUAGUUGGUGAGGGAAUGGCUCACCAAGGCGACGAUCAGUAGCUGGUCUGAGAGGAAGAUCAGCCACACUGGGACUGAGACACGGCCCAGACUCCUACGGGAGGCAGCAGUGGGGAAUAUUGGACAAUGGGGGCAACCCUGAUCCAGCCAUGCCGCGUGAGUGAUGAAGGCCUUAGGGUUGUAAAGCUCUUUUACCCGGGACGAUAAUGGCUGUACCGGGAGAAUAAGCCCCGGCUAACUUCGUGCCAGCCGCCGCGGUAA
RNAcentral lists this ribosomal RNA (447 nucleotides) under uncultured bacterium. RNAcentral's name for it is "partial 16S ribosomal RNA". It matches the Rfam family "Bacterial small subunit ribosomal RNA", at positions 29 to 523 of the family's 1533-position model. The record is from RNAcentral.